This 468-nucleotide ribosomal RNA is filed under the name uncultured bacterium. Its description in RNAcentral is "partial 16S ribosomal RNA". It matches the Rfam family "Bacterial small subunit ribosomal RNA", at positions 29 to 507 of the family's 1533-position model. The record is from RNAcentral.
ACGAACGCUGGCGGCGUGCUUAACACCUGCCAGUCGCACGGAAAGGCCCUGCUUGCAGGGUGCUCGAGUGGCGAACGGGUGAGUAACACGUGGGUGAUCUGCCCCUUACUUUGGGAUAAGCCUGGGAAACUGGGUCUAAUACUGGAUAGGACCAUGCUGUAGGUGGUGUGGUGGAAAGAUUAGUUUCGGUAAGGGAUGAGCUCGCGGCCUAUCAGCUUGUUGGUGGGGUAAUGGCCUACCAAGGCGUCGACGGGUAGCCGGCCUGAGAGGGUGGACGGCCACAUUGGGACUGAGAUACGGCCCAGACUCCUACGGUAGGCAGCAGUGGGGAAUAUUGCACAAUGGGCGCAAGCCUGAUGCAGCGACGCCGCGUGGGGGAUGACGGCCUUCGGGUUGUAAACUCCUUUCAGCCAUGACGAAGCCCUUGUGGUGACGGUAGUGGUAGAAGAAGCACCGGCUAACUACGUG